RNAcentral lists this ribosomal RNA (348 nucleotides) under uncultured bacterium. RNAcentral describes it as "partial 16S ribosomal RNA". It matches the Rfam family "Bacterial small subunit ribosomal RNA", at positions 338 to 703 of the family's 1533-position model. The record is from RNAcentral.
CCUACGGGUGGCAGCAGUGGGGAAUAUUGCACAAUGGGGGAAACCCUGAUGCAGCGACGCCGCGUGAGUGAAGAAGUAUCUCGGUACGUAAAGCUCUAUCAGCAGGGAAGAUAAUUACGGUACCUGACCAAGAAGCUCCGGCUUACUACGUUCCAGCAGCCGCGGUGAUACGUAGGGGGCAAGGGUUAUCCGGAUGUACAGGGUGUUAAGGGAGCGUAGAGGGAAGCACAAGUCUGGAGUGAAGUCCAGGGGCUUAACCCCGGAACUGCCUUGGAGACUGUGCGGCUGGAGUGCAAGAGGGGUAAGCGGAAUUACUAGUGAAGCGGUGAAAUGCGUAGAUAUAAGGAG